RNAcentral lists this non-coding RNA (30 nucleotides) under Macaca fascicularis (crab-eating macaque). Lineage: Eukaryota; Metazoa; Chordata; Mammalia; Primates; Cercopithecidae. The record is from RNAcentral. RNAcentral also lists the same sequence under 1 other name.
UCUGAGGUCUGGUGGCCAGGAAAUGGCAGA